RNAcentral lists this ribosomal RNA (68 nucleotides) under Methanobacteriota archaeon. RNAcentral describes it as "Euryarchaeota archaeon partial 16S ribosomal RNA". It matches the Rfam family "Bacterial small subunit ribosomal RNA", at positions 1472 to 1533 of the family's 1533-position model. The record is from RNAcentral. Lineage: Archaea; Methanobacteriati; Methanobacteriota.
CAAGGAGGGUUAAGUCGUAACAAGGUAUCUGUAGGGGAACCUGCAGAUGGAUCACCUCCUAAGAAAAC